Molecule: long non-coding RNA, 2044 nt
Organism: Oreochromis aureus
Lineage: Eukaryota; Metazoa; Chordata; Actinopteri; Cichliformes; Cichlidae
Source: Ensembl
CAAAUGUGUGACGCAUGGUCAGGCUCUCUCUGCUUCACUUAUGGACGCGCAGGGUACCCCCCUCGCGUCGAGAAUUGACGUGCAGGGUCCUCCUAUUGAAUACUAUAGAGCUCCCUAAUCGUUGUUUAUUGACGACAAGAGAUUUCCGCGGAAGAGCUUGUUAUGGAGGAUCACUGACAGGAGCGUGGAAGACUCCAGAAUCCACUCUGGCUGGAAUCCGGUGGAUACAGCAGUGUUACAGAACAGUUCUCCACAGUCGCUGUCCACAUGGGUCAGUGGGACCAAGCAGCACUCUGCUAAUGUGGGACUCUGACCAGCAACAUCCAGCAAGACCCAAGCAGCGUUUUCUAUCUCCCAGCUGGAGUUUUUUGUUUGUCUGUGACUGGAGAGUCAGAUUUUUGUUGAAGCUGGAGGAACAGAGAGGUUAAUACACGCUACUGAUCCCUGAUGGGAGAAUCAUCACCUCUGCCAACAAAGAAGCCUGGUGGAUGUUUGUUUGCAGUCUGAUGAUGGGACAUCAUGCUCUGCAUCUUCAAAGUCUGUGUCUUGAUUAUUAUUGAUACACAGUAAUGUGAAGUAUGCUUAUAUCUAGUAUAACUGGACCAACCUGGUGCUCUUCAUUUAUGGAGGCUGUUGAGUCUGAAUGUUGGAUGUUGUGUAUCUCGUGUUCUCUGGGCUUUGUUGUCCUCAGUCUUUUUGCAGGAUCAGGAAACAAAACCAGGAGACCUGUAAAUGUUUCUUCUCCAGUUGGAUGAUGAUAAGACUGUGACACGGGAUGCCACCUUUGGUCUUGUGAUGAAGCAAAGCUCAGGAAGAAGUGUGAUUAAAUGGUACCCACAUGUGUGCUGCUGAGAAGGAUGUACAGGGGCACCUGCAGCCAAAUCCAAGCCUCCUCAGCAACUUCAGGUCUGUCAGCGUGCUGAGGUCACAGAAACAAGAAAAGCAGCUUCAGACUUCAGAGUGUUGUUUACAGUUUUCUGUCAUCAUGAUCUCCCCUGAAGUUUAUCACUAUUAUACAAGCAAGCAGAGCGGCAGUUUGUGCUCACAGAUGGUGACGGUGUGGAGAGACGGUGGUGUUUCCUCAGAAGAACCAGUCACAAAGAGUCCAUCUCACCACCUUGACUUGCUGACUGAUGCUCGUCUGCACUGCACAGAGGAAAUCAACUGACCGAGGAGUGUUUCUGGGUGAGGGAGAGAGGAGUCAUCAUCCAGGUAAAGUGACGUGGAUCAGUGGAUACACUUGUCUCCCCUUUAAAGGAGAUACUCUUAGAGAGAGACGAUCCGAGUCAUCCUUAAAUGUUAAUGCUUUCAAAUACACAAACAUUUUUAAAGGACAAAAUCGAACAUCCAACUUUGACUGUAAUACAAUUAAAUCUUUGCAUGUGUGUUUUCAAACUCUCAGAUGGGAAGGAUAUCACUAUUAGACUGUCUAACCUGCCGGAGCAGCACUGAAUGAUCACCACACAUGAGCAUGUUCCUGCAACAUUCAGCAGCUUUGCUUUUGCUGGAGAGGAAACUACACCAGUGUACUGGGAUGUUUCACCAACACGUGCCAGACGCUGUAACUUCAUGGUGACAUCACCAGAGACAGCCCCGCCCACCUCAGGACCUCGCCAUUGAUCAUGAUGAUUAUAAUGAUGACAGCGAGCGGAACUAAGACUGUAAAAAUCCACGACCAGAAUGUUUAGAUGCUUUCUAAUUAUUCAUGAAUACUGAGAGCCUCUUUCUGUGUUUUGUCUGUUUUUUUUGUUUGUUUUUUUUACCUUAUUUGUUACUAACAAACUCACACUGUUUACAUUUACAUGUAUGUUUCCAUCUUUACCAGCCACACUCUGCCUGCAUUUAGAAAACAAACCUUAGAAAUCGUCGUUUUUCUCUUUUGUAAUUCAGUGAAUAUACUGCGCUGCUUCCUUUUAUUGCGUCAAACAUUGCUUUAAGUUUUUCAGUAUCCAGUUAUUUUUUACUGCUGUUUGAAUUCUCUGCAUGUUUGACCCUGUAGACUGUUUGAUGGACUGCUUGUCUUCCUGUUUGUAACCGCCGCCUG